GAUGAACGCUAGCGGCAGGCUUAAUACAUGCAAGUCGUGGGGCAGCAGGUUUGUAGCAAUACAGAUGCUGGCGACCGGCAAACGGGUGCGGAACACGUACAGAACCUUCCUUUGAGCGGGGAAUAGCCCAGAGAAAUUUGGAUUAAUACCCCAUAGUAUAAUGAAGUGGCAUCACUUUAUUAUUAAAGAUUUAUCACUCGAAGAUGGCUGUGCGGCUGAUUAGGUAGUUGGCGGGGCAAAGGCCCACCAAGCCUGCGAUCAGUAACUGGUGUGAGAGCACGACCAGUCACACGGGCACUGAGACACGGGCCCGACUCCUACGGGAGGCAGCAGUAAGGAAUAUUGGUCAAUGGAGGCAACUCUGAACCAGCCAUGCCGCGUGGAGGAUGAAGGUCCUCUGGAUUGUAAAACUUCUUUUAUAUGGGACGAAAAAAAGGCUUUUCUAAGUCGUCUGACGGUACCAUAUGAAUAAGCACCGGCUAAACUCCGUGCCAG
This 495-nucleotide ribosomal RNA is filed under the name uncultured bacterium. Its description in RNAcentral is "bacterial SSU rRNA". It matches the Rfam family "Bacterial small subunit ribosomal RNA", at positions 28 to 511 of the family's 1533-position model. The record is from RNAcentral.